Canis lupus familiaris (dog) is the source of this 560-nucleotide long non-coding RNA. RefSeq lists it as uncharacterized. NCBI's taxonomy places the organism in Eukaryota, Metazoa, Chordata, Mammalia, Carnivora, Canidae. The transcript is spliced from 3 exons. The record is from RefSeq and is a predicted model, not a curated record.
CCAGCUGGGAGUCCCCCUUACCCCCACCCGGAAUAUCUGCCUUUUAAAUGGAGCUGUCUCCAUUGUUGGUCUUUCCAUUAUCAUUCUGCACUGGGACUUUUUGAGGUCUUAAAAUUCCUCUGAGAAGCUGAAAAAUGGCAUAAAAGGUCCAAAGCUGAGAUACAUAAACCUCAGUUCAGGUCUUUGUGGAAGUUCUGCCCCAGGAGAGAUGUUAUCCUAAGAAUAUCCAGCAUCAAUUCAAUAGUUGCUCCCAAGCAUGAAAGUAAGCCUAGUUAUCACCUUGGACUAAUAAUAUGCUCGAUACCCACAGGAAUAAUGCUACCAAAGCAGAAGAAAAUUCAUACUGAUAAAGAAUCCUAUUACAGAGAACAUUUUCAUUACUAUGGUUACAAAAUACUGCCAUUGUUUCUGAGAACACCACUGGAGGAGUUCAAUGAGCAUGGAGUCAACAACAAAAGACUGAAUUCUUCCCCUUUUUUUGGUGAACCACACACUAAGGAUUAGAGCAUUAGGGGACUCAGUCCUCUGUGAAAUUACUGAGAUAUAAUUUAAGGACAAAA